CUUAAGGAACACUACCAGGCGCUGCAGGAGGAGAGCCAGGCUCAGUUGGAAAGGGAGAAGGAGAAGAGCCAGAGGGAAGCCCAGGCCGCCUGGGAGACCCAGCACCAGUUGGCAUUGGUGCAGUCUGAGGUGCGGCGGCUGGAAGGAGAGCUGGAUACAGCUCGGAGAGAGAGAGAUGCCCUGCAGCUGGAAAUGAGCUUGGUGCAGGCCCGGUAUGAAAGCCAGCGGAUCCAGCUGGAGUCGGAGCUGGCUGUGCAGCUGGAGCAGCGGGUGACAGAGCGGCUGGCGCAGGCUCAGGAGAGCAGCCUACGGCAAGCAGCCUCCCUCAGGGAACAUCACAGGAAGCAGCUGCAGGACCUGAGUGGACAGCACCAGCAGGAGCUGGCCAGUCAGCUAGCUCAGUUCAAGGUGGAAAUGGCAGAACGAGAGGAACGGCAACAGCAGGUGGCUGAGGACUACGAGCUCAGACUGGCCCGGGAGCAAGCGCGAGUGUGCGAACUGCAGAGUGGGAACCAGCAGCUGGAGGAGCAGCGGGUGGAGCUGGUGGAAAGACUGCAGGCCAUGCUGCAGGCCCACUGGGAUGAGGCCAACCAGCUGCUCAGCACCACUCUCCCGCCGCCCAACCCUCCAGCUCCUCCUGCUGGACCCUCCAGCCCUGGGCCUCAGGAGCCGGAGAAGGAGGAGAGGAGGGUCUGGACUAUGCCUCCCAUGGCCGUGGCCCUGAAGCCUGUAUUGCAGCAGAGCCGGGAAGCAAGGGACGAGCUACCUGGAGCGCCUCCUGUUCUUUGCAGUUCCUCCUCAGAUCUUAGCCUCCUGUUGGGCCCCUCUUUUCAGAGCCAGCAUUCUUUCCAGCCCCUGGAGCCCAAACCAGACCUCACUUCAUCCACAGCUGGGGCCUUCUCUGCACCUGGGGCCUUCCAUCCCGAUCAUAGGGCAGAAAGGCCAUUCCCUGAGGAAGAUCCUGGACCUGACGGGGAGGGCCUCCUAAAGCAAGGGCUGCCGCCUGCUCAGCUGGAGGGCCUCAAGAAUUUUUUGCACCAGUUGCUGGAGACAGUGCCCCAGAACAAUGAGAACCCUUCUGUCGACCUGUUGCCCCCUAAGUCUGGUCCUCUGACUGUCCCAUCUUGGGAGGAAGCCCCUCAAGUGCCACGUAUUCCACCGCCUGUCCACAAAACCAAAGUUCCCUUAGCCAUGGCAUCCAGUCUUUUCCGGGUCCCUGAGCUUCCCUCCUCCCAUUCACAAGGCAGUGGUCCCAGCAGUGGUUCCCCAGAGAGAGGUGGAGAUGGGCUUACAUUCCCAAGGCAGCUGAUGGAGGUGUCUCAACUGUUGCGACUCUACCAGGCUCGGGGCUGGGGGGCUCUGCCUGCUGAGGAUCUCCUGCUCUACCUGAAGAGGCUGGAACACAGCGGGUACAAGCCUGGGAGGAAGGAGGAAGGAUUCUCCGGGUAGAAGCUGGAUUAUGGGGAGUGGAGUGGGUGUGUUUUACACUGAAUUGAAUCGUUGUCCUUUUCUGGGGAGGAACGUGAAGGAUGAGAGGUGGAUCCACAGAUCUUCUUCUCUUACUGCCCCACACCUUUCUUUUAUCUCUUCCUUUCUAUUGCUUCUUUCUUCUAAACAAAAAAAUCUUUUCCCCGGGUCUCUCUACCUUCGUUUUUUUCCUCUUUACCCCUCAGCUCAAAACUCAGAAUCCUAGACUUUUGACUAGCUAGUGUAACUCAUUAUUUACUUCCACUAAUGUCUCCUCCCAGUUGAUGCCCAGGUCUAUCGAGUUUGAUCUUAUUCUUAAGAGAUAGAAUUGGGGAGUAGUUCUUCCAUCCAGUAUUGGGUAACCGGGGGGACGGAGAUCCCCAUCCUCAUACCUUUGAUUUGUGUAGCAGGACUGAUGGCCGAGGGGAUAAUGUCCCCAGAAGGAACACAGACUCGCGCUUGGAUUCCCUCCCAGGCUGUCCCUCGCCGCCUUGCUACAGCCCCCAAGACUGAAAAACCUCCCGCACGGAAGAAAAGUGGGCACCCUGCCCCGAGUAGCAUGAGGAGCCGGGGGGGAGUCUGGAGAUGAGCCCCCCUACCCUCUCUCCUCUUUGUUCUCUCGUUGUUGUUAUUUUAAUAAAUGCUCAAUAGUCUGUAUCAGAGUCUCUGGCUCAUAGGAAUUUGGCAAACAGAGGUUUUGUAGGAAAUCACUUUGUAAAGAAACCACAUUUGGUUGAGUACUUUUUUUUAUAUGUUACAUGUUUAUAUGUCAUUUCCUGUGGGAAAAGACAUGAAUGCUUUGGAAGACGGUCUAUGACAAGAUUUGGAAAGUUGGAGCGGCUAAGAUUCAGUGGACAAAGCUAAAACCUGCAGAGCAAUGAACUCUGGGUGGUAGUGGAAUUAUGGGUGAUUCUUAGUUUUUUAAUACGUUUCUGUAUUUUCCAAAUUUUCUAAAACAAGUAUAUGUUACUUUAAUAAUCAGAAAAGACCCAAACUUU
This 2465-nucleotide small RNA is filed under the name Pan troglodytes (chimpanzee). RNAcentral describes it as "retained intron". Lineage: Eukaryota; Metazoa; Chordata; Mammalia; Primates; Hominidae. The record is from RNAcentral.